This 63-nucleotide transfer RNA is filed under the name Hydrophilidae sp. BMNH 1274338. Its description in RNAcentral is "tRNA-Thr". Lineage: Eukaryota; Metazoa; Arthropoda; Insecta; Coleoptera; Hydrophilidae. The record is from RNAcentral.
GUUUUAAUAAUUUAAAUAAAAUAUUGGUCUUGUAAACCAAACUUAAGAAUAUCUUUUAAAACU